AUUAAUGGGGGCAGCGAAGGAUCUACUGUACAAAAGAAAAGAGGUCGAGGAAAGGCUAAGGGUGUUUAUCUAGGUCAUAACCACAAGUGUGAGAUACAUGACAGAAGAUUCAUAGAAAAGAAAAUACCCCAAGAGAUUACUAUUAAGUUCCACCAAAACAUUACUGGGCCAUGGACAACUUUUUCAAAAUACCCUAAAGAACAACUAAAUAUGCUUUAUGAGUUAUACAAAGAAGCACAAUUUGAGACAGAUGACUUAGUUCUUGAGAGGUAGGUAUUUGAUGAGCAUGUCAAACGACGCUAUCCUGAUUGGAUGUGGCACCUUAGAGAAGAAUGUGUAACAAAUAAAAUUCCCCAAGAUGAAUGGUACAAGCAUCCCCCAGAUGAUGUAACUCCAACUAUUUGGAAAGAGAUGUGCAACAAAUGGAAUAAUCGCAAGUGAAAGGAAAAGAGUGAUAGAAACAAAAGAAAUCGCAGAAGGAGAUCAAAAUAUUACAGACCAAUGCUGGAGAAGGAAAUCAAAAUGUGGAUGAAAACAUAGAAGAUGACUCUGAGGAGGAAGAUGACUAAGAUGGCUCUCAAAAGGAUAAUACUGACUCAGAUGAUGAUUGAUCUUCCAAUAUUUAUGUUUUCAAGUUAUGUGAAGGAUAUUAUAGCUUUCAUGUAGACGUUUUAAUUAAUAUUUUUUAUUCUAUUUUAUAGAUGUUUUAAUAUUUUUUUUAUUGCAUUAUGCACUUUCUAGAUUUGGACAAUUAUGGA
Molecule: long non-coding RNA, 758 nt
Organism: Quercus lobata
Lineage: Eukaryota; Viridiplantae; Streptophyta; Magnoliopsida; Fagales; Fagaceae
Exons: 4
Source: RefSeq, a predicted model, not a curated record